AGAGCAGAACUAGCAGUGCUUUUGUAUGACGGGUGAAAAGUUAGUGUGAAAAGUUGCAAGCGAGACAAGUGCCAAGUUGGCAUCAAUGCACAGCCGCGAGCCCGGCAGACAGGAAGCGGAGCGUCGAACUUCCUGCUUGGCUCCGAGAAGCGAGGGGCACGUUCAUUCACAAGCGCGUCGGCCAAACGUUUGCUAUUUAAGGGAGCGGGCGGGGUUGAGCGCGGCACAACAGGAAACACGCGGAGCCGAUCAAACGUCGGCGGAGAGCUCAACGACAAAGUGGGAAGACUUUUGAGACCUGCCCCGAGACUCUGAUCCAAUUGAACGAAGUACAACAUCGCAACAAACGAGCGUGGCGCGGCGUGGCGGCGAUCGGCACGUCCGGCUCGUGGCGCAGAGGUUCUCGGUGACGAGCUUCCGGUGUGGAGCGGCGAGUUCGCCCGUCGCCUCUGCGCUCAACUCUUUGACUUUAUUUGAGUUUUUUUCCUCGCUUCACUG
Molecule: long non-coding RNA, 498 nt
Organism: Hippocampus comes (tiger tail seahorse)
Lineage: Eukaryota; Metazoa; Chordata; Actinopteri; Syngnathiformes; Syngnathidae
Exons: 3
Source: RefSeq, a predicted model, not a curated record